RNAcentral lists this long non-coding RNA (1042 nucleotides) under Cottoperca gobio. RNAcentral's name for it is "lncRNA (ENSCGOG00000019717.1)". The record is from RNAcentral. Lineage: Eukaryota; Metazoa; Chordata; Actinopteri; Perciformes; Bovichtidae.
CUUCUUUGUUAAUCGUUCAAGUCAUUUUUCAUGCAAAAACAUUUCAUGAUUCCAACUUCUCAAAAGUGAAAAGUUCCUUUGAGUGUUUUCUAAUUAUUUUAAUGUAUUUUUAAAAAAUAUGUAUCGUUGGUUGAACAAAAGUCACAUUGUGAAAGUGUCACUGAGGGCUUUGGGUAAUUGUGAACAAUCAACCAAUUAAUGGAGAAAAUAAUCAGCAGAUUAAUGCAGAAUGAAAGUAAGCAGUUAGUUUCAGUCCGAUACAAAAUAGUUUGUUAAUAAUAAUCUAAAGAUAUAAUAUACAGUAUAACAGUCACAGGGGUAAUCUUUCUGCAUUAAGUCAUUUUACUUUUAUUUUUCUAAAACAGAUUCCUGAUUAUACUUACAUAUAUUUAUUUAAGCAACAUUUUCAAUUCAGGACUUUUACUUGUACCAUAUUUUUACCGUGUGGUAUUAGUACCUUGACUUAAGUAAAAGAUCUGAACACUUCCUCCACCGCUGGGAAUAAUUGUGAUGUUUUCACAGUUUGAAUUCACCCCUGUGUAUCUGGCGUGCAGCACCGAAUAACAACAGUCACUUCAUCCCCCCUCUCAGAGAUGGCGUGUGUCGGUGCUGCUCGGGCGGCUGGGGCCUAACGUGCACACAGAGAGGACGCCCCCCCCCCCCCCAUCAUCCCCGGAUUUGCUGCAUAUUCCUCGGGUGUCUCUUCUCACUGUGUCCUCCACCGCUGCUGCUGCUGCCUCCAAAGCUCCCCCCCACCUCCCUGUGCGGGUGUCUGGGAGUCGGGCCCUUGGGGGUGGAGGGAAUCAACAUCGUGCUUCGCUGGGGAGCUGUGCAGAAUUAGCUAUGCCCUGCCCAAGCAUCCUUUGACCGGCUGGAUUUCUCUAUUUCUAUCCGCCUGCGCACCGGAGGAUUACAUAGGAUGAAAAUCAGCAGUCAUGAUGCAAGGUAAAUGAUCUGGACUCUCCUUCUCCUCCUUUAUUUCCCAUGUUUGCGUUCUCCUCCUGCCCUCUUGUGUCCUGCUGGGGCCAUUAAAGCUCAUGAA